CGGAACGUAGCUUAAUUGGGAAAGCAGCGGGUUAUCGAGGUUCAAUUCCUUUUUAUGACUGUUGGGAGCGCACUUGCAAGUGAAGGUUCGAAUCCUUCCGUUCCGA
Molecule: transfer RNA, 106 nt
Filed under: Caudoviricetes sp.
Lineage: Duplodnaviria; Heunggongvirae; Uroviricota; Caudoviricetes
Description: tRNA-Asp
Rfam family: tRNA
About the family: Transfer RNA (tRNA) molecules are approximately 80 nucleotides in length. Their secondary structure includes four short double-helical elements and three loops (D, anti-codon, and T loops).
Source: RNAcentral